AUUGAACGCUGGCGGCAGGCUUAACACAUGCAAGUCGAGCGGGGGAAGGUAGCUUGCUCUCGGGUGACGAGUGGCGGACGGGUGAGUAAUGUCUGGGAAACUGCCCGAUGGAGGGGGAUAACUACUGGAAACGGUAGCUAAUACCGCAUAACGUCGCAAGACCAAAGUGGGGGACCUUCGGGCCUCACACCAUCGGAUGUGCCCAGAUGGGAUUAGCUAGUAGGUGGGGUAAUGGCUCACCUAGGCGACGAUCCCUAGCUGGUCUGAGAGGAUGACCAGCCACACUGGAACUGAGACACGGUCCAGACUCCUACGGGAGGCAGCAGUGGGGAAUAUUGCACAAUGGGCGCAAGCCUGAUGCAGCCAUGCCGCGUGUAUGAAGAAGGCCUUCGGGUUGUAAAGUACUUUCAGCGGGGAGGAAGGCGGUGAAGUUAAUAGCUUCACCGAUUGACGUUACCCGCAGAAGAAGCACCGACUAACUCCGUGCCAGCAGCCGCAGUAA
RNAcentral lists this ribosomal RNA (502 nucleotides) under uncultured bacterium. Its description in RNAcentral is "partial 16S ribosomal RNA". It matches the Rfam family "Bacterial small subunit ribosomal RNA", at positions 30 to 523 of the family's 1533-position model. The record is from RNAcentral.